RNAcentral lists this ribosomal RNA (253 nucleotides) under uncultured bacterium. Its description in RNAcentral is "partial 16S ribosomal RNA". It matches the Rfam family "Bacterial small subunit ribosomal RNA", at positions 524 to 776 of the family's 1533-position model. The record is from RNAcentral.
GACAGAGGGGGCAAGCGUUGCUCGGAAUUAUUGGGCGUAAAGGGCGCGUAGGCGGUCUUUCAAGUGACGGGUGAAAUCCCUCGGCUUAACCGAGGAACUGCCUGUCAGACUGGAAGGCUUGAGACCGGGAGAGGUGAGUGGAAUUCCCAGUGUAGCGGUGAAAUGCGUAGAUAUUGGGAGGAACACCAGUGGCGAAGGCGGCUCACUGGACCGGUACUGACGCUGAGGCGCGAAAGCGUGGGGAGCAAACAGG